UUAUGAGAGUUUGAUCCUGGCUCAGGACGAACGCUGGCGGCGUGCCUAAUACAUGCAAGUCGAACGCUUCUUUUUCCACCGGAGCUUGCUCCACCGGAAAAAGAGGAGUGGCGAACGGGUGAGUAACACGUGGGUAACCUGCCCAUCAGAAGGGGAUAACACUUGGAAACAGGUGCUAAUACCGUAUAACAAUCGAAACCGCAUGGUUUUGAUUUGAAAGGCGCUUUCGGGUGUCGCUGAUGGAUGGACCCGCGGUGCAUUAGCUAGUUGGUGAGGUAACGGCUCACCAAGGCCACGAUGCAUAGCCGACCUGAGAGGGUGAUCGGCCACAUUGGGACUGAGACACGGCCCAAACUCCUACGGGAGGCAGCAGUAGGGAAUCUUCGGCAAUGGACGAAAGUCUGACCGAGCAACGCCGCGUGAGUGAAGAAGGUUUUCGGAUCGUAAAACUCUGUUGUUAGAGAAGAACAAGGAUGAGAGUAACUGUUCAUCCCUUGACGGUAUCUAACCAGAAAGCCACGGCUAACUACGUGCCAGCAGCCGCGGUAAUACGUAGGUGGCAAGCGUUGUCCGGAUUUAUUGGGCGUAAAGCGAGCGCAGGCGGUUUCUUAAGUCUGAUGUGAAAGCCCCCGGCUCAACCGGGGAGGGUCAUUGGAAACUGGGAGACUUGAGUGCAGAAGAGGAGAGUGGAAUUCCAUGUGUAGCGGUGAAAUGCGUAGAUAUAUGGAGGAACACCAGUGGCGAAGGCGGCUCUCUGGUCUGUAACUGACGCUGAGGCUCGAAAGCGUGGGGAGCAAACAGGAUUAGAUACCCUGGUAGUCCACGCCGUAAACGAUGAGUGCUAAGUGUUGGAGGGUUUCCGCCCUUCAGUGCUGCAGCUAACGCAUUAAGCACUCCGCCUGGGGAGUACGACCGCAAGGUUGAAACUCAAAGGAAUUGACGGGGGCCCGCACAAGCGGUGGAGCAUGUGGUUUAAUUCGAAGCAACGCGAAGAACCUUACCAGGUCUUGACCUAACGUAUAGAUAGGAAUACCAAAAAUAACGCCCACAAUUCCCAUUAGAUCACCCAUGACAAGUAGCUCGUGUCGUGAGAUGUUGGGUUAAGUCCCGCAACGAGCGCAACCCUUAUUGUUAGUUGCCAUCAUUCAGUUGGGCACUCUAGCAAGACUGCCGGUGACAAACCGGAGGAAGGUGGGGAUGACGUCAAAUCAUCAUGCCCCUUAUGACCUGGGCUACACACGUGCUACAAUGGGAAGUACAACGAGUUGCGAAGUCGCGAGGCUAAGCUAAUCUCUUAAAGCUUCUCUCAGUUCGGAUUGCAGGCUGCAACUCGCCUGCAUGAAGCCGGAAUCGCUAGUAAUCGCGGAUCAGCACGCCGCGGUGAAUACGUUCCCGGGCCUUGUACACACCGCCCGUCACACCACGAGAGUUUGUAACACCCGAAGUCGGUGAGGUAACCUUUUGGAGCCAGUCGCCUAAGGUGGGAUAGAUGAUUGGGGUGAAGUCGUAACAAGGUAGCCGUAUCGGAAGGUGCGGCUGGAUCACCUCCUUU
Molecule: ribosomal RNA, 1552 nt
Filed under: Enterococcus faecium
Lineage: Bacteria; Bacillati; Bacillota; Bacilli; Lactobacillales; Enterococcaceae
Description: bacterial SSU rRNA
Rfam family: Bacterial small subunit ribosomal RNA
Source: RNAcentral